UACGAAGGGGGCUAGCGUUGCUCGGAAUCACUGGGCGUAAAGCGCACGUAGGCGGGUCAUUAAGUCGGGGGUGAAAUCCUGGAGCUCAACUCCAGAACUGCCUUCGAUACUGGCGACCUUGAGUCCGGGAGAGGUGAGUGGAACUCCGAGUGUAGAGGUGAAAUUCGUAGAUAUUCGGAAGAACACCAGUGGCGAAGGCGACUCGCUGGACAAGUAUUGACGCUGAGGUGCGAAAGCGUGGGGAGCAAACAGG
Molecule: ribosomal RNA, 253 nt
Filed under: uncultured bacterium
Lineage: Bacteria
Description: partial 16S ribosomal RNA
Rfam family: Bacterial small subunit ribosomal RNA
Source: RNAcentral